UGGAAAAAAUUAAAAAUUAAAAUCGAUAUAAGUGUUUUUCUAAGCCAAAAACCGUUUUUAUCAAUCGCAUUAUAUUAAUUAAUACGCGACGUCCGUAAACAUUAACGAGUUGAUUAGAUCCGGGGGAAAAUAUGUAUUCUUUAUCACGCCUCCUUAACACGGCUCCCGAGUCGAAAAACGAAAAUAAAACCUAAAACGUUAACGUUAAUACGCCGACAUGUCUAACAAACUUCAGUUUGUAACACCUCGAAAACCCUUAAAAUACUGUCUAUUAACGCGGAUAUUCGGAUAUGACUUCGUAAAGUCUAUACACAGAAUGCACGUACCUGUGAUAAUAAUUAUGUAUCCGGAGUGCUCCAUCUUCGGAAUCGCGUCCACGUGAAUAUGAUUACUAUUUUUUCCUUCAAUUAUUGCGAUUAGCGUUUAUUAUUACAUAUCGUCCAAAAUAUAACGAACGUCUCCCGUGGGAAACUGUUGGCUGCAGUUUAACAACUAAGUCCCAUACACUCACGUUGUUUUUAUUAUCAUGUGCACGCGC
This is a non-coding RNA of Cinara cedri, 538 nucleotides long. NCBI's taxonomy places the organism in Eukaryota, Metazoa, Arthropoda, Insecta, Hemiptera, Aphididae. The record is from the annotation of a GenBank genome assembly.